This 495-nucleotide ribosomal RNA is filed under the name uncultured Sphingobacteriales bacterium. Its description in RNAcentral is "bacterial SSU rRNA". It matches the Rfam family "Bacterial small subunit ribosomal RNA", at positions 903 to 1382 of the family's 1533-position model. Lineage: Bacteria; Pseudomonadati; Bacteroidota; Sphingobacteriia; Sphingobacteriales. The record is from RNAcentral.
GCCAGCCCGCUCAGAACUUAAAGGAAUUGAGGGGGCCCGCACAAGCGGUGGAGCAUGUGGUUUAAUUCGAUGAUACGCGAGGAACCUUACCUGGGCUCAAAUGUAUGUUGACGUAUUCUGAAAGGGAUACUUCUUCGGACAAUAUACAAGGUGCUGCAUGGUUGUCGUCAGCUCGUGCCGUGAGGUGUCGGGUUAAGUCCCAUAACGAGCGCAACCCCUAUCAUUAGUUGCCAUCAGGUCAAGCUGGGGACUCUAAUGAAACUGCCUACGCAAGUAGUGAGGAAGGUGGGGAUGACGUCAAAUCAGCACGGCCCUUACGUCCAGGGCUACACACGUGCUACAAUGGCCGGUACAAAGGGCUGCCAAGCCGCGAGGUGGAGCUAAUCCCAUAAAACCGAUCGUAGUCCGGAUCGCAGUCUGCAACUCGACUGCGUGAAGUCGGAAUCGCUAGUAAUCGUGAAUCAGAAUGUCACGGUGAAUACGUUCCCGGGCCUU